GGCCUGGUGGUCUAGUGUACGUUAAAUCGUUGAUAUUUAAAUAAUUUCACCCGUUCUAAUUUGUUAUUAGGGUAUGAUUGUCGCUUCGGGUGUGACAGGCCCCGGGUUCAAAUCCCGGCCAGGCCC
RNAcentral lists this transfer RNA (126 nucleotides) under Lachnellula hyalina. RNAcentral's name for it is "tRNA-Pro". It matches the Rfam family "tRNA". Rfam says of the family: Transfer RNA (tRNA) molecules are approximately 80 nucleotides in length. Their secondary structure includes four short double-helical elements and three loops (D, anti-codon, and T loops). The record is from RNAcentral. Lineage: Eukaryota; Fungi; Ascomycota; Leotiomycetes; Helotiales; Lachnaceae.